GCCAGUGAAGCAGCAUCUCGUGUCAGAGGGGGAGUUGCCCUGGAGCUCCAGCAGGUCCGCCAUGUUCCUUGAUGGGUCUGCAAAAAAUUUCCUCUUUUGAGAUGUAGACAGAUCGAUCCAUAUGUUGUUGCUGUAAACACAGGCCCAGGAGCGAGCCAGGAACCUUAAGGCGGACCUGGAGGCAGAGGAGCUCCGAUACAGAGAGCUUACAACAAUCGUGAAGGAGAUGCUUCCCCAUCCAGGGAACCCUGACAUAGAAACCCAGCAUAGGCGGAAGGCAGGGACUGAACUG
Molecule: long non-coding RNA, 292 nt
Filed under: Spirodela polyrhiza (greater duckweed)
Lineage: Eukaryota; Viridiplantae; Streptophyta; Magnoliopsida; Alismatales; Araceae
Description: long non-coding RNA (SPOL_LNC001754)
Source: RNAcentral